RNAcentral lists this long non-coding RNA (690 nucleotides) under Chinchilla lanigera (long-tailed chinchilla). Its description in RNAcentral is "lncRNA (ENSCLAG00000025369.1)". Lineage: Eukaryota; Metazoa; Chordata; Mammalia; Rodentia; Chinchillidae. The record is from RNAcentral.
CAAAAUAUUCCCCACAGCUUCAAAUACACUUAGCAUACUGUUCUGGUCACUUUCUGAAGCAGCUCUGAAGUCCUCUUUUGGGAGUAUCUUUAUGAGAUGUGAUCAAAAAUACAGUGAAUGCUACUGCUGUGUGCUGUCUAGUUGAAAGACGGGCUCAUAAAAACAUGUCGCUGUGUCCUCCUCCUCCCAGUCACCGGAUCUGGCACUGUGCAACUUCCAGCUCUUUCUCAGAGUCAGAAUGAUCUCAAGAGGGAAGUGUGUUUGAUCAAUUCUGGAAUCGAGGCAGCCAGGACAGCACAACCCAAGAUACUCAGGAAAGGGACUCCAGAGCUGCUGCAGAAAGUAGCAAGAAAGAUGGGAUGCCUCUCUCUCCUGGUCACCCAAGACCAGCACCACCACUGCUCUAAGGAGCACCAUUGCACAAUGCAAUCAAAUGGGUUCUCAACUGGCCACAGGAUUCCCUAGGACAAAAGACUAUUUUAUAUCACCUCAAUUAUGUUGUGAAAAAUCUCAAAAUAUUUCAAUGAAAAGGAAAAAGCCAUAGAACAGUUUUCAGUACAGCACACCACAUCUCCCUACUCUCACUUAUCAACAACUCAUUCUUGGAAUUCUUCUAUCAAGAAAGACACUUUAUAACCAACUAUUUUUGUACAUGAAAAACUGGUCUCAAUGGGGAGUAACACUGAAAAA